RNAcentral lists this ribosomal RNA (529 nucleotides) under uncultured bacterium. RNAcentral describes it as "bacterial SSU rRNA". It matches the Rfam family "Bacterial small subunit ribosomal RNA", at positions 777 to 1304 of the family's 1533-position model. The record is from RNAcentral.
AAUAGAUACCCGGGUAGUCCACGCCGUAAACGAUGAGUGCUAAGUGUUAGAGGGUUUCCGCCCUUUAGUGCUGCAGCUAACGCAUUAAGCACUCCGCCUGGGGAGUACGGCCGCAAGGCUGAAACUCAAAGGAAUUGACGGGGGCCCGCACAAGCGGUGGAGCAUGUGGUUUAAUUCGAAGCAACGCGAAGAACCUUACCAGGUCUUGACAUCCUCUGACACUCCUAGAGAUAGGAUUUUCCCCUUCGGGGGACAGAGUGACAGGUGGUGCAUGGUUGUCGUCAGCUCGUGUCGUGAGAUGUUGGGUUAAGUCCCGCAACGAGCGCAACCCUUGAUCUUAGUUACCAGCAUUUAGUUGGGCACUCUAAGGUGACUGCCGGUGACAAACCGGAGGAAGGUGGGGAUGACGUCAAAUCAUCAUGCCCCUUAUGACCUGGGCUACACACGUGCUACAAUGGAUGGUACAAAGGGCAGCGAAGCCGCGAGGUGGAGCCAAUCCCAUAAAACCAUUCUCAGUUCGGAUUGCAGG